AGGAAAAGAAAUCAACCGAGAUUCCCUUAGUAGCGGCGAGCGAACGGGGACCAGCCCUUAAGUAAUUAAUAAGUCAGUCGAAUGCUCUGGAAAGUGCGACGAUAGAAGGUGAUAGUCCUGUAGACGAAGACGAAUUUUUUAUGAAAACGAGUAGGACGGGACACGUGAUAUCCUGUUUGAAGAUGGGGGGACCAUCCUCCAAGGCUAAAUACUACUAAUUGACCGAUAGUGAACCAGUACCGUGAGGGAAUGG
Molecule: non-coding RNA, 253 nt
Filed under: Pseudoalteromonas citrea
Lineage: Bacteria; Pseudomonadati; Pseudomonadota; Gammaproteobacteria; Alteromonadales; Pseudoalteromonadaceae
Description: partial 23S ribosomal RNA
Rfam family: Bacterial large subunit ribosomal RNA
Source: RNAcentral